This is a long non-coding RNA of Homo sapiens (human), 1184 nucleotides long. Ensembl annotates it as long intergenic non-protein coding RNA 3076. The record is from Ensembl. NCBI's taxonomy places the organism in Eukaryota, Metazoa, Chordata, Mammalia, Primates, Hominidae.
UCCAGUCCUCUCCACCCCAAGGUAGGCAGCUUCCCGCUCCUCGUCUUGGGACCUAAACCCAGGAAGUCAAAUGUCCUUUUCUAGCAGGUCGCCUGGUUAGAGGCCGUGGACGAAGCGGUCCAGGCACAGCCAGCUGCAGGGCGCGGCCUCGGCGGCGCUGCUCGUGGCCCUGGUCAGUGAGCGCACUCACUCCUGGACUAAGCUCUAUGCAACUCAUUUUCAUCUAGCAUUACCUCUCCAAAACCUGAAUCUCCACAAGAAAGCCACACAGCAAUUAACCAGUGUUGCAAGAACUGCUUCUGUAAUAAAGGUGGGAAGACAAAUUGAUGCAACCCUCUUGAAAAGCAAUCUGGCAAUAUGAACCAAGAGCCAUGAAAAGGCUUAUGCUAUUAUAAUUAAAUGGCUGUAAUGUUGGCUGUAAAUAUGAAAUUUUCUUUCACACACCAAUGUUUUCAAGAAUGGCAUAUUCACAUGCAGUAUGUGAUGAAAGAAGCAGUAAAGGAUGCUAACAAAGCUAUUUCUUUGGACAAUCUGAACCUGAAAUACUGAUUGGCAACUAUCCACAGACAAGAAUGCCUUUGUGAAAAAUCCCAGAACCCAAGACGUAGUGGGGAGAAGGGACAGGGGAGACGGAGUCUUACUCUGUCGCCCAGGCAGGAGUGCAAUGGCACAAUCUUGGCUCACCACAACCUCCGCCUCCUGGGUUCAAGUGACUCUCCUGCCUGGCCAUAGAAGCAAACACAAACAUAGAGGAAUUGGCUUUGGGCAGAUGGAAGGACCUCAGAGAAAAGAAACAAAGGAAAGAAAACUGGAUGGAUAAAGGUACAAAGAAAUUUGGAGUAGAGCUGAAUUGCAUCCCCCUCAAAUUCAUAUGUUAAAAUUCUGAUCCUCAAUACCUCAGAAUGUGACUGUUUCUGAAGACAGGGCCUUUAAAGAUGUAAUUAAGGUAAAAAAGUCAUAUCGGUGGGCCCUAAUACAACAUUAAGGAUGUCCCUAUAAGAAGAGGAGAUUAGAACACAGGCAUGCACAGAGAGAUGACAUGUGGAGACACAAGGAAAAAUGACCAUCUCGUCAAGGUGAAAAGCCUUUUGAAGAAACCAACCCUGCCAAAGGUUAAAAUUCCCUGUGGAAUUUUAAGCUUCACAGAUAUGAGGAAGUAAAUUUCUGUUGCUUAAACUGCCCAA